AACACCGGAAAACUCACCAAGGGCGACUGUUACAUGAAAGCCAGGCUAAUGACCUUGCUUGAUUUUCAGAGAGGUGGUGCAUGGCCGUCGUCAGUUCGUACCGUAAGGCGUUCUCUUAAGUGAGAUAACGAACGAGACCCUCACUAAUAAUUGCUACUUCGAUCUCCGGACCGGAGGCACAUUAUUGGGACCGCUGGCGCUAAGUCAGAGGAAGGAGAGGUCAACGGUAGGUCAGUAUGCCCCGAAUCUCUUGGGCUACACGCGCGCUACAAAGGGCGGGACAAUGGGCUCCGACGCCGAAAGGCGAAGGUAAUCUCGAAACCCGUCCAUAGUUCGGAUUGAGGGUUGUAACUCACCCUCAUGAAGCUGGAUUCCGUAGUAAUCGCGAAUCAACAACUCGCGGUGAAUAUGCCCCUGCUCCUUGCACACACCGCCCGUCAAACCAUCCGAGUUGGGUUUCAGUGAGGUCACCUCUAAUUAGGGUGUUCGAACUGAGAUUUAGCAAGGAAGGUUAAGUCGU
Molecule: ribosomal RNA, 520 nt
Filed under: gut metagenome
Description: bacterial SSU rRNA
Rfam family: Archaeal small subunit ribosomal RNA
Source: RNAcentral